UAACUUGUUUAUUGCCCCUGUCAUCAGUAUUUGAAAUCAUUUUAUUUGCUUGAAGAUUUUUUUUUCAUGCUCCCAUUAAGAAGAAAAUUCCUUCACGACUUGCCGUAUAGCCUGACACUUGGUAGGUGCUCACUAAAUACCCGGGAGGUGGAGGUUGCAGUGAGCCGAGAUCACACCACUGCACUCCAGCCCGGUGACACAGCGAGACUCUGUGUCAAACAAAAAAAAAAGAAAAAAGAAAAAGAAAAAUACCUGCAAUUCUUGGUAGAGAUAAAAGGUGUCACCAUCUCCCCUCCAAAACCCUUACUCAUUAGCAGUCAUUUCUCAUUCCCACCUUUCCCCUCCCUCAAGCUUUCCCCCCACGCCCUGCCAAUCCCUAGGCAACCACUAAUUUACUUUUUGUCGUUAAGGAACAAAUCUAUACUCUGUUGCCCAGGCUGGAAUACAGUGGCUUGCUCGCAGCUCACUGCAACCUCCACCUUCCAGGUUCAAAUGAUUCUCCUGCCCUAGCCUCCUGAGUAGCUGAUCUUAAGGAACAUUAAAGCCUGGUACUUAAAAUGCUCUAAAUGUUAUUUUGUCAGAUCUCUGUUUUUCAAGGUGAAAACAGGCUUAGUUUUCUAGUAAUUAAUGUUUAUACCAAGAAGCAUGAAAACAGAUCUUUCUCUGAAACAUGAAUUUUCACAAAUUUUGCUUACUAGUAUUGUGCUAUGCACUUACCUUUACUAAGUGCAGGAUGAUUUUGUUUUUAUUUUCAAUUUGAGACCAUGAUGAAAUUAGUCCAUAUUUAUAUCAUGUUUUUAAUGAGCCAUGGUAGUUGAAAAUUAAUCUAUUUAAAGUUAAGUAUGUGAAGCUGGCCUGAUUAAAAUGUAUCAGGUUGUCACAGUACUCAGCUGGAUAUUUAAAAAAUAAUGCCCUCAAGACAAAAGCUUGUGGUUCAUGUUACAACAAAGAUGAAAAUACAGGUAUACUUCUGAAGUUAAUCCAUUGUUAGUAACUACCAAGUGUUUUUUCUUAAACAGUUUUAAAAUAAGCCCCAUAUUUUAUGUCUUAUACAUUCUCUCUCUGUACAACAGCAGCAUUCUCCUACAUGUAGUUACCACACUUAAGAAAUUUAAUAUUGAUAAAUAUUAUCUAAUAAUAUAAACUACAUGUUUAAAUUUCCUAAUUGUGUCCAAAAUAUCUCUUAUAGUUGUUUUCUUUUUAACCAUUUCAGGAUCCAAUCAUGAAUCCCAGACUAAACAUAUUCAGCUUAGUUGUCAUGUCUCCUUUAAUCUACAACAGCUCUUGAUUCUUUUUUUCCUACUUUGUGCAUUUCUGUGUUUCAGUUUAAUAAUUUCUAUUCCUUUGUCUUCACAUUUACUGAUCCUUUAUUCUACAAUGUCUAUAAUCUUUUAAGCCCACCUAGUGAACUUUUCAUAUUGUAUCUCUUUUAUCUAGGAGUUUCACUUGGAUCUUUAAAAUGUGUGUGUAUGUGUGUGUGUAUGUAUCAUCCAUUUCUCUGAGCCUUAUGUUUAUAUUCUCCUUCAAAUCCUUGAACGUAAUUUAUAAUUUUAUGUCUUUAUAUUACAUGUAAAUGUAUUCUUAUAAUAAUAAAUUAUAAUUUAUAGCUGUUUUAAAAUCCUUGUCUGCUAUUCAUAAUUCCGUAUCCAUGUAAUUUCUGGGUCUGUUUCUGUUGAAUGGUUUUUCUCAUGGUUAUGGGUCACAUUUUCUUGCUUCUUGGCGUGUCUACCUUUUUUUUUUUCAACUUUCAUUUUUUAAGUUCUGGGGUACAUGUACAGGAUGUGCAGGUUUGGUACAUAGGUAAAC
Molecule: long non-coding RNA, 1806 nt
Filed under: Homo sapiens (human)
Lineage: Eukaryota; Metazoa; Chordata; Mammalia; Primates; Hominidae
Description: non-protein coding lnc-RNF13-4:1
Source: RNAcentral